GAUGAACGCUGGCGGCGUGCCUAAUACAUGCAAGUCGAGCGAACGGACGAGAAGCUUGCUUCUCUGAUGUUAGCGGCGGACGGGUGAGUAACACGUGGAUAACCUACCUAUAAGACUGGGAUAACUUCGGGAAACCGGAGCUAAUACCGGAUAAUAUUUUGAACCGCAUGGUUCAAAAGUGAAAGACGGUCUUGCUGUCACGUAUAGAUGGAUCCGCGCUGCAUUAGCUAGUUGGUAAGGUAACGGCUUACCAAGGCAACGAUGCAUAGCCGACGGGUGAGGGGGAUCGGCCACACGGGAGCUGAGACAGGGACCAGGGUCCUACGGGAGGGAGCAGUAGGGAAUGGGCCGCAAUGGGCGAAAGCCUGACGGAGCGACGGCGCGCGAGUUAUGAAGGUGUUCGGAGCGUAAUACUCGGUUAUGAGGGAAGAACAGAUGUGGAAGUAACUGUGCACAGCGUGACGGUAACUAAUCAGAAAGCAACGGCUAACUACGUG
RNAcentral lists this ribosomal RNA (497 nucleotides) under uncultured bacterium. RNAcentral describes it as "partial 16S ribosomal RNA". It matches the Rfam family "Bacterial small subunit ribosomal RNA", at positions 28 to 507 of the family's 1533-position model. The record is from RNAcentral.